Molecule: long non-coding RNA, 2262 nt
Filed under: Homo sapiens (human)
Lineage: Eukaryota; Metazoa; Chordata; Mammalia; Primates; Hominidae
Description: non-protein coding lnc-ZNF273-1:8
Source: RNAcentral
GCCAGCGGCGAGCACUGGCUUGCUUCACAGUGAACGCCUUCGUUGCCUGGCGACUAGUCCCUGCGGCUUAGCGGAGAGGGGGCGUCGGCGUUGGGCUCUCGCCUGUCUUCUCUGGGGGGAUCCUCGGGAUACUCCCACGAUCUAGGACAGGGCAGGGGCGAGCCAGCCUGAGGAAACGUCAAGGGAAGGCCCAGGGAUACACCGCGAAAUCCCUAAGAAUCCAAAAGGAUCCGCAGGAGGCGUCAGGCCUGCCUAGACGGAGUGGGCACUUAGCACCUGCCCGCCCUCCACCUUCUCCACCACCCAGCAGGAGCGGGGCGGCCUGGAUCUGUUUUCUGCCCCUGACCAGGGGGCCGCGUCUUCGGCAAAGUCUUCGGGGUGAGAGGUCCGGCUCCUGGAGGACAGCGGGAUGGGAGAGUCCCGUUCACACCCAGCCCCGCAGAGCCGGAUAGAAACGCUGCCACUGCCGACUCCAUGCUGCCGGGAAGUGCACUGUGGAGGCCACUUUCUGGAAAGAAGAAACCGUCUGAACACAAAGUUGCUCAAGCCAUGUUCAUCUAUCUGCCAGGGAAACGGAGGCCCUGAGUGCCAGAGUCCAAGUCACCCUGCAAGAGAAAACUCUGGUGGAGCCCAGGGUGUCCAGCCCCUGUCCACCCAGCCGCCGUGGUCAAGGUUAAUAAGGGCAAGGGGCCAAGCAGAACCGCCUACAAGGAACCGAGUGUCCACAAAGCAGGAAGCGAAGAACGUUUCUCCUACCUAGAGCGCAGCCGUUUUGCGGAAGGCACAGUCCGGGCUCCGGGAGCCAAGCAGGGAUCCGGGCCUCGUUGCGGAGGGGACGCCCGGGCUGAGCUGAGCUCACUUGCUGGCGGCGGCAGCCCCUGCAGUCAUGGGGUCACCGGCUUGUGGAGAGGGGCUGGCGCUGUUCCUUGGCCCCGCUCCCCGCCCGCAAAGGGCCGGGAGGUCGGGCUCCCGGCAGUGUCCAGGCUCUCGCCCGCCGGUGCCUGAGCCGUACCCACCGCGUCCCCUCCGCCCCAACAGCUGGUGCUGAGGGUCCGGCCCGGGGUCAUCUGGCAGGGCCGUGCGGCUCCUGCGGGUGACCAGGAGCGCGGAGCCCCUUCCCACUCGGGCUCGGGUGGCCUCACCUUUCCUGGGGCUGCGUCCCCGCGGGACGCCAGGUUCCCGGUUUCUUCUAGGUCGCCCUGGUUCCUGGCAGCUCCUGGUGCCACGCGGUCCUCUACGGUCUCCUCUGACCUGAGAGGGACAGUGAGAUGGGGCUGGCGGGGAUGGGGGUCCCCGCGCUGUUGGAAAGCAGCGGGGCUGCUGCUGACCGGAGCCGCCUGGGUCUGUUCUGGAACCGUCGCCCUGGGGCCCCUCCGCCCCGCAAACGCUCGGGAUGCGGUUUGGGAGUGUAGCUGGACACCGAGCACCAUCCACGCUCAGCCCCACGGGGCUCCAGGAGUCCCGAGCCCAAGCCCCUGCACUUGCAUUUUAUUUAAAAAACCUGAGGGUUAAAUUCGGGCAAGUCAGUUGCCUCAGUGUUUGUCGCCUGCUGCCUCUAUGUCGGCUUCUUUUGCUGGCAGUCAGAGACCAAGCCCCCACGCCCUCCAGGACCCUCUAUCUGGUGAGGCCACCUCUGCAAUCAUGAGCAGCACUGAGGUGCUUCCGACCAGGGGUCACUGCCCCAGCCGGUGAGAGGCCCUGCAGUGGGGACUGGAGAUGUGCGACGCAGCCUCCCAGAGCCCGCAUCCUCUUGCCCAAGGAGGCUGCACACCCUCACUCAGGGCUGUGAGGGGGAAUGAGGGCAGCUCACAGGCUAAGGGGCCGCUGAAGACAGGUUUUGUGGACAGGUGAUUUAGGAGCCUGGAGGAAGCAGAAAUCUUUAGAGAUGGAUCAUUUUCCUUACAAGAAUAGAUACCAGGGCCGGUAUGAACAUGUCAUGCAGUCUCCAAGCAACCCACAGUAGGCCCACCAUAAACAGAUGUUGUGGCCAGCAUGGGAGGUGCAAUGGUGAGUUGCUCUGUUUCCUCCCUCCCGUCCCCCUCCCCACCCCUCCCCUCCCCCUCCCCUCCCCCUCCCCUCCCUUCCCCUUCCCUUCCCUUCCUCUCUCACAAAACAGUCACAGAGAGAGGACAGCAGCGUACAUGGUGAGGUGCUGACGAUUCUGGUCCACUGGAUCCCACCAUCCCUAGGACAGUAAAUACCGUCCUAGUCACUACCCAGCAAGUUACCACCGCAUCAUUUCCUGCAUGUUCCAAAAUGAAU